RNAcentral lists this long non-coding RNA (1102 nucleotides) under Anas platyrhynchos (mallard). Its description in RNAcentral is "lncRNA (ENSAPLG00020003387.1)". The record is from RNAcentral. Lineage: Eukaryota; Metazoa; Chordata; Aves; Anseriformes; Anatidae.
ACCUAACAGAAAUGAGAUGCUUGAGUGGAUAUGGCGAGAAGCGGGCAGGGAAGAGAAAGCAAACCCGCGAGCGAGAGAGGCCGUGGUGAGGGAGGGAAGCCGUGGAGCAGCCCACGGAGCUCUGCUGCUUUCCACCAGCCACCAACGUCACGCUGGAGUACGUGCGCUGGAGGCAAAUGGAGCCGCGGGGACCUCGGCUGGCCCCGAGCUCCUGCUGGCCUCAUCCUUCCCUGCAAAGCGCCGUACCUGCGGCACGGCUGCCAACAGCGAGCCCGGGGAAGGGGGGAGAAGCUCUUGCCCGUGGAGCAAGGUGCUGCGCUCCCUUCCAAGCAUUGCACACAGUCUCCAAGAGGCCGGCCAGGAAAGCAGCGGCCUGGCGCUGGCAGGGUUGUGGUGAUGGCUCGGGUGAGCGGCCGGCUCCUGCCCCCGGCACGCCGGGAAUCCCAACCCGGCUCUGCCUCCCCGACGUCACGGCCCAGGCUCGGCACCAGCAGACGCGGCUCCGGCGCCGGGAGAAGAGGCCAGCUCCUCCCAGCUCAGCUGGAGCCUCCAAAAUCGGAACCUCUGCUGUCAGCUGCCUUUUAUAGGGCUAUAAAACCACAAGUUCAUGUACAGACGUUGGCCGGGAUCAGCCUCGGCCACCUUCAGCAUCGCUUCUCGACGUCUUGCAUGUCCUCCAUCUCCAGAGCCUCCUUCCCUCGUGCCCAGCCACCUGCAGCCCCAAAGACGGACAAGAGGACAUGGAAAGAAGGACAUGGAGCCAUGCCAGCCCCCACCAAGUGAAAAAGGUACAAGCCAGGCAGUGAAGCACCCCAUCAUCCUCACGGUGCUCAAUGGCACAGCCCCUAAACCCCACCAGCAGCCCCCAGCCCCUCGCGGCAUUUCGGUGGCCGUGCCGCCCGCUGUCAUCAGGCGCAGGGAAUAACGCGCCCGUAAUGCUGGGCCCUGCGACAAGAAUAACAUGAAAUAACACUGCACCCACCCACUGAGAACACCAAGUGUGUCACACUCCUCUGUGUCAUGGGUUUAAAAAUAGCCCCCUCCUUUCCCCCCGCCCCUUUUCUUUUUCUUUUCCCAUUUAUUUAUGGGUUUUUUGGACACC